GUCAAAGCAUUUUGCAAAAGCUAGCGUAUCUGUUUCUUGCCUUUUACCAGAAACAGCCGUUUGCAAGGUGUGCUAAUUUGACUGUUUAGUUUUUGUAAACCAUUUCUAAAGCUU
Small nuclear RNA from Schizosaccharomyces cryophilus OY26, 114 nucleotides. It matches the Rfam family "U5 spliceosomal RNA". From Rfam's summary of the family: U5 RNA is a component of both types of known spliceosome. The record is from Rfam. Lineage: Eukaryota; Fungi; Ascomycota; Schizosaccharomycetes; Schizosaccharomycetales; Schizosaccharomycetaceae.